RNAcentral lists this ribosomal RNA (2264 nucleotides) under Haemophilus influenzae. RNAcentral describes it as "bacterial LSU rRNA". It matches the Rfam family "Bacterial large subunit ribosomal RNA", at positions 589 to 2838 of the family's 2925-position model. The record is from RNAcentral. Lineage: Bacteria; Pseudomonadati; Pseudomonadota; Gammaproteobacteria; Pasteurellales; Pasteurellaceae.
AAGGGUGACUGCGUACCUUUUGUAUAAUGGGUCAGCGACUUAUAUUUUGUAGCGAGGUUAACCGAAUAGGGGAGCCGAAGGGAAACCGAGUCUUAACUGGGCGUCUAGUUGCAAGGUAUAGACCCGAAACCCGGUGAUCUAGCCAUGGGCAGGUUGAAGGUUGGGUAACACUAACUGGAGGACCGAACCGACUAAUGUUGAAAAAUUAGCGGAUGACUUGUGGCUGGGGGUGAAAGGCCAAUCAAACCGGGAGAUAGCUGGUUCUCCCCGAAAUCUAUUUAGGUAGAGCCUUGAGCGGACACCUUCGGGGGUAGAGCACUGUUUCGGCUAGGGGUCCAUCCCGGAUUACCAACCCGAUGCAAACUACGAAUACCGAAGAGUGAUACUCAGGAGACACACGGCGGGUGCUAACGUCCGUCGUGGAGAGGGAAACAACCCAGACCGCCAGCUAAGGUCCCAAAGUCUAUAUUAAGUGGGAAACGAAGUGGGAAGGCUUAGACAGCUAGGAUGUUGGCUUAGAAGCAGCCAUCAUUUAAAGAAAGCGUAAUAGCUCACUAGUCGAGUCGGCCUGCGCGGAAGAUGUAACGGGGCUCAAAUAUAGCACCGAAGCUGCGGCAUCAGACGAAAGUCUGUUGGGUAGGGGAGCGUUGUGUAAGCGGAUGAAGGUGUGUUGAGAAGCAUGCUGGACGUAUCACAAGUGCGAAUGCUGACAUAAGUAACGAUAAAACGGGUGAAAAACCCGUUCGCCGGAAGACCAAGGGUUCCUGUCCAACGUUAAUCGGGGCAGGGUGAGUCGGCCCCUAAGGCGAGGCUGAAAAGCGUAGUCGAUGGGAAACGGGUUAAUAUUCCCGUACUUGGUAAAGCUGCGAUGUGGGGACGGAGCAGGUUAGGUUAGCGUGCUGUUGGAUAUGCACGUUUAAGUUGGUAGGUGGGGAGUUUAGGCAAAUCCGGACUUCCUUAACACUGAGAGAUGAUGACGAGGCUCUACGGAGCUGAAGUAACCGAUACCACACUUCCAGGAAAAGCCACUAAGCGAAAGGCUUUACUAAACCGUACUGAAAACCGACACAGGUGGUCAGGUAGAGAAUACUCAGGCGCUUGAGAGAACUCGGGUGAAGGAACUAGGCAAAAUAGCACCGUAACUUCGGGAGAAGGUGCGCCGGCGUAGAUUGUAGUCCCUCGCGGGCGAAGGUUGAACCGGUCGAAGAUACCAGCUGGCUGCAACUGUUUAUUAAAAACACAGCACUCUGCAAACACGAAAGUGGACGUAUAGGGUGUGAUGCCUGCCCGGUGCUGGAAGGUUAAUUGAUGGUGUAAUCGAAAGAGAAGCUCCUGAUCGAAGCCCCAGUAAACGGCGGCCGUAACUAUAACGGUCCUAAGGUAGCGAAAUUCCUUGUCGGGUAAGUUCCGACCUGCACGAAUGGCAUAAUGAUGGCCAGGCUGUCUCCACCCGAGACUCAGUGAAAUUGAAAUCGCCGUGAAGAUGCGGUGUACCCGCGGCUAGACGGAAAGACCCCGUGAACCUUUACUAUAGCUUGACACUGAACAUUGAAUUUUGAUGUGUAGGAUAGGUGGGAGACUAUGAAGAUGAUACGCCAGUAUUGUUGGAGUCGUCCUUGAAAUACCACCCUUUAACGUUUGAUGUUCUAACGAAGAUUACGAAACGUGGUCUCGGACAGUGUCUGGUGGGUAGUUUGACUGGGGCGGUCUCCUCCCAAAGAGUAACGGAGGAGCACGAAGGUUUGCUAAUCACGGUCGGACAUCGUGAGGUUAGUGCAAUGGUAUAAGCAAGCUUAACUGCGAGACAGACAAGUCGAGCAGGUACGAAAGUAGGUCAUAGUGAUCCGGUGGUUCUGCAUGGAAGGGCCAUCGCUCAACGGAUAAAAGGUACUCCGGGGAUAACAGGCUGAUACCGCCCAAGAGUUCAUAUCGACGGCGGUGUUUGGCACCUCGAUGUCGGCUCAUCACAUCCUGGGGCUGAAGUAGGUCCCAAGGGUAUGGCUGUUCGCCAUUUAAAGUGGUACGCGAGCUGGGUUUAGAACGUCGUGAGACAGUUCGGUCCCUAUCUGCCGUGGGCGUUGGAGAAUUGAUUGGGGCUGCUCCUAGUACGAGAGGACCGGAGUGGACGCACCACUGGUGUUCCGGUUGUGUCGCCAGACGCAUUGCCGGGUAGCUAAGUGCGGAAGAGAUAAGUGCUGAAAGCAUCUAAGCACGAAACUUGCCAAGAGAUGAGUUCUCCCAGAUUAUAAAUCUGUAAGGGUUGU